AAAAAUUACCAAAAAUUUCAAUCUUUCAAAACCUUUCAAUCUUUCACAAUCUUGCAAAAAUUGCAAUCUCACCUCAAAUUUCUUGAACAAUCUCCACAACUUGAACUUUGUAACUCCAACUCCAACUCCAACUUUGUAUUCAAACCUCCAAGAUCACAUCAACCAACUCCAACUCCAACUUUGUAUUCAAACCUCCAAGAUCACAUCAACCAAUUCCAACUCCAACUUCACAACUUACAACUUCCAACUUACAACUUCCAACUUACAACUU
Molecule: long non-coding RNA, 271 nt
Filed under: Physcomitrium patens
Lineage: Eukaryota; Viridiplantae; Streptophyta; Bryopsida; Funariales; Funariaceae
Description: long non-coding RNA (PPAT_LNC010968)
Source: RNAcentral